AGGGAUACUAUGUUAGAUGUUUGUUAAAAUGGACAAAUUAGAAGAUUAUUUUGUUACUUUUAUGUGUAAUAGAUUAAUUUUUUUUUUUAUUUUUUAUAUAUCUGUCUUUAUAUUAAAAAAGACUAUGCAGAAGCUAUACCCAUUUUAUAAAUUUCUUAAUUUUAAUAUGAUUUUGGUCAUUGUUAAUCUUGCAAUUCUUGGGUAUAUGAUGGUGUUGAUGAAAAUAGUUGCUGGAAAAUGUUGAGUGGGUUUGGAUUUUACUUUAUAAUCUGCUGGAAUAUUGUGGGGGUUGGAUUUUAAGAGGCUCGAUAGUGGUUGAUAAGUGAAUUCCAUCAGAUUUGUAUGUUAAUCUAAUGUUCCGUUCUUAUGAGGUCUGAUCAAUUUUCACCUUUGCAUUAAUUUGGUUAAAUUUACUUGAAAGUUGAUUGGAGAUUCUUGGUUUUGAUGAUUUGGUGCAAUAGCUUACCAUUGGAAAUCAAUUGAAGUUUGAGUUUAUCCUAUUUUAUAGAUUGAAUUUGUUGAUAUCUUAAGCUACCUAAUAAGUUGAUUUCUUAAGCCCUUUAUUGGUGCUUUGUUGAAUUUUUGUAAUUUGAGUUGUGAUUAAAUUUUUAUCUUCCCUGUAGCCUCACUGCCUUAGUUGAUUAAUUACCAAUCUGAGCUUUGGUUCAUUCUUCAUUUUUUAAUAUUUUUUUGUUUCAAUAGACUUUCCUCUUUGUAAACUCAAAAUUUAAUUUGAUAUGCAGGGAAUUAUAUCCAAGGGUGGGUGAUUUCUUGAAGGUCUUGUUUCCGGUAGUAUAAAAAAACAAUGCUGAGGACGUUCAAUUGAUUAUCCUGGCCGCUAGAGAGAAGUUGCUGCAUAAAUAUAAGUGGCUUGAACCUUUGGAGUCAGGUUUCAUUUAUGAUAAGCUUUGAGAGUCUAGCAGAAAUAUUUCAGGUAAUAUUAUGGUGCAGUCACACUUCCAGCCUAUUGAUUUGGUCUGUGUUGAUUCUCCCAGGUAUUCGGUAUAACUUCUAUGCGGCUUUUCAUUGUUAGAAUAAUCUUUGGCAUGUUUGUGUGAUUACAACGUAUACUUUGAGGCAUGCUCAUUUAUUUAUAACCAGGAAUUUGGCCUUGUAUAACCUUUUUGAUCUAUUAUCGUGGUGAUUGGCAAUUAUUGUGCAUCAUAAAUGAUUUUUAGGGUGUGUUGAGCGAAAGCUGAUCAUUUCUUGCCUUUUUAGUAAUUGGAUAAAGUUGUACUGUGGGUUAUGCCGUACUUGACCAUGUUUGCUCAACCUUGCACAUCUUGGGAGUCUAAUAUGCUCUUUACAUUUUUUAAUUCACUCUUAAAGAGUUACAAGUUAAUUGUUCAGAGUUCUUCCAUUUAGAGUUAAAUUGAAUCUUGCUUCUGCUUUUUUUUUUUUUUUUUUUCCAGAUAUUAGAAACUAGCUGCGCAAUAUUGAGAAACAUGCUUUUGAUAACGUGAAAAUUAUUUUGGUAGGAAAUAGGAACAAGGUACUGAAGAAUAGGGAUUUUUAUCUUCUGGUCGGAUGUGGAAUGAGGUAAUGAUGUUUAUUGUAAAUUCGUCUCUCUUUUUUCCCUUUCUCUGCCUAUCUUAAUUGCUAAUUUCGGUUCCCAUAUUUUCUCUGCUCCAUACCCAUCUCCUUCUCUCUCUUCCUCCCAUCAAAACUCCCCUAACAAAUUUGCAGUAGUGCUCGACGAAGUCAAGCUACACAUGUCACAAAAUCAAGAAGAUCAUCGAACAAGAGUUCAUCCCUGAUAUCCCUCCAUUUUUCAGAGAGAAAUGUUGCUGCUACUGCUGUUUUCUCUUAUCUCGCUUUCUCUCUCUAGAAUGGGUGUUUUUGAGGGUUUUUCAAAGAAUUUAGCAUUAGCUCAUGGGUUUUAAUUUCAUCGAAUACCUAUUUCACAAUCUUCUUAAGGUAAGGUUAUUUUUUCUUUCAUUGAACACCAAUUUCACAAUCUAGGGUUCAUCAUUAAUCGAUUUGUGUCCGAAAGUCCACUUGAUAUUGUGGUGGUCAUGUGGCGUGUUCCGUGGUGGUAGUGACGGUACAAGAUGAGAGAUCGGUGCGUGCUAUGGUGUUUGUAGCCUUGCGUCGAAAGUCUUCCUGAUAAUGUAGAUGGUCAGGCAGCGGGUCCUGUGGGUGAUAACGGCGGUGCAAGAUGGUUUUGCUGAAGGGGAGGUCAUGAGUUAUGUGGUCCUUAGCUUUAGGGAGGAUUGUUGGGAUUGGCAAUCCAAGUCCCACAUGGAAGAAAUAAGGAAGGGAUGACUUCCUUAUAAGGGGAAGCACACUCCAUUAGUAUGAGGCCUUUUAGGAAGAUGCCCAAAAACAAAUCCGUGCGGGCUAGGCCAAAGCGGACAAUAUCAUAUUAAUGUGGUGCAGAGUGUGUGGGCGGCCCGACGAUGUAGGUGACCCGAGCUCAACAUGGUAAAAUUAAACUACUUAGCUUUACCAAUUUAGCGCUAAUGACUAUCAUCUUAUUGAUUGAUCAACUAAUCAUGGCAAGCUAGACGCCCUCUAGGCGUUCUAAAUGUGAUUUCAGGUUUUGAACCAAUUGCUCGUGCAACCCUCUGUUCUCACAUGAAUGUGGACAAGGAAAUUAAACAAGCAUUUUGAGAAAUUGACACAGUGUGAUAUGCAUCUUAAUUUCCUGAGCCGGUAACCAGAAAUAAGGCUAGAUUCUCCAUACUUCGAUUUGCAGCCUUCUGUUUUUGACGACUCAAAUGAAUCUAAAAGUCAUAGCUUGGAUCAAAUAUAAACUAGCAGAGGAUCUAGAAUCUCAAUCUUUGAAGAUGUUGGAAUACAUUUAUCCCAGUAAUCAUCUCUCUUAGUCAAACAAGUUAUGGAACAUCUGAGACUUUGUCUUGUGAAGCUACUUCUCUAAGCUCAGGUAUCCUUUUUAUCACCAUGUCUACUACGAUUUAGACACCAUUGAUGUUGUUGUGUUUGUCCUAGACCUCUGUAUUUGGAGAUGGUGUUUGAAAUUUGGCAUGGAUUCCUCAACAAUUUUCUUGUUAGAAUUUUUGUUUUCUUUCUUUGUACAUCCUUAUGAUGAAUUUAUUGUAAGAUAUGCCAAUAUAUCAUACCAAAAGAUAUUUUUAUGUAUUUUUUAUUUUUUCCCGGGGGGGGGAUAUGAUUUGGCUUGAACCCAAAAAACCUUGUUGCCACCUUUAAAGCAAUUUGUGGUCAUGCUUCUUGUUUUAUAAAUGUUCACUACCAUAAAAAUCCUAUGCUUUAAUGGGGGUAGGGGUGUGGGGCCGUAGGGGAGUGACUGCCGACACUUAAUAUGUCUAAUACCUUUUAUUUAACAUAGUAAGAUUGUUGGCAAUAUAAUUAAAUAUGAUUUGGCCCAAACUGACCUGAUUCAGUUGAACCACUAGUAGAAA
Molecule: long non-coding RNA, 3383 nt
Organism: Chenopodium quinoa (quinoa)
Lineage: Eukaryota; Viridiplantae; Streptophyta; Magnoliopsida; Caryophyllales; Amaranthaceae
Exons: 4
Source: RefSeq, a predicted model, not a curated record